GGUCUCGUGGUGUAGGGGUUAUCACCGUGGACUUUGACUCCACAGACCCAGGUUCGAAUCCUGGCGGGACCUU
This 73-nucleotide transfer RNA is filed under the name Babesia caballi. Its description in RNAcentral is "tRNA-Gln". It matches the Rfam family "tRNA". Rfam says of the family: Transfer RNA (tRNA) molecules are approximately 80 nucleotides in length. Their secondary structure includes four short double-helical elements and three loops (D, anti-codon, and T loops). Further hydrogen bonds mediate the characteristic L-shaped molecular structure. tRNAs have two regions of fundamental functional importance: the anti-codon, which is responsible for specific mRNA codon recognition, and the 3' end, to which the tRNAs corresponding amino acid is attached (by aminoacyl-tRNA synthetases). tRNAs cope with the degeneracy of the genetic code in two manners: having more than one tRNA (with a specific anti-codon) for a particular amino acid; and 'wobble' base-pairing, i.e. permitting non-standard base-pairing at the 3rd anti-codon position. The record is from RNAcentral. Lineage: Eukaryota; Apicomplexa; Aconoidasida; Piroplasmida; Babesiidae.